RNAcentral lists this ribosomal RNA (1387 nucleotides) under Eurotiomycetes FQ10867A. Its description in RNAcentral is "LSU rRNA". It matches the Rfam family "Eukaryotic large subunit ribosomal RNA", at positions 40 to 1444 of the family's 3401-position model. The record is from RNAcentral. Lineage: Eukaryota; Fungi; Ascomycota; Eurotiomycetes.
AUAUCAAUAAGCGGAGGAAAAGAAACCAACAGGGAUUGCCUCAGUAACGGCGAGUGAAGCGGCAAGAGCUCAAAUUUGAAAUCUGGCUCCUUCGGGGCCCGAGUUGUAAUUUGGAGAGGAUGCUUCGGGCGUGGCCCCUAUCUAAGUGCCCUGGAACGGGCCGUCAUAGAGGGUGAGAAUCCCGUCUGGGAUGGGUGGUCCCGCCCGUGUGAAGCUCCUUCGAAGAGUCGAGUUGUUUGGGAAUGCAGCUCUAAGAGGGUGGUAAAUUUCAUCUAAAGCUAAAUAUUGGCCGGAGACCGAUAGCGCACAAGUAGAGUGAUCGAAAGAUGAAAAGCACUUUGAAAAGAGAGUUAAACAGCACGUGAAAUUGUUGAAAGGGAAGCGUUGGCAACCAGACUCGCCCGGGAGGGCUCAGCCGGCACGUGUGCCGGUGCACUCCCCCCCGGGCGGGCCAGCGUCGGUUUGGGCGGUCGGUCAAAGGCCCCGGGAACGUAGCACCCUCCGGGGUGCCUUAUAGCCCGAGGCGCCAUGCGACCUGCCCGGACCGAGGAACGCGCUCCGGCUCGGACGCUGGCGUAAUGGUUGUCAACGGCCCGUCUUGAAACACGGACCAAGGAGUCUAACAUCUAUGCGAGUGUUCGGGUGUCAAACCCGUCCGCGCAGUGAAAGCGAACGGAGGUGGGAACCCCUUUCGGGGUGCACCAUCGACCGAUCCUGAUGUCUUCGGAUGGAUUUGAGUAAGAGCAUAGCUGUUGGGACCCGAAAGAUGGUGAACUAUGCCUGAAUAGGGCGAAGCCAGAGGAAACUCUGGUGGAGGCUCGCAGCGGUUCUGACGUGCAAAUCGAUCGUCAAAUUUGGGUAUAGGGGCGAAAGACUAAUCGAACCAUCUGGUAGCUGGUUCCUGCCGAAGUUUCCCUCAGGAUAGCAGUAACGACAUCAGUUUUAUGAGGUAAAGCGAAUGAUUAGAGGCCUUGGGGUUGAAACAACCUUAACCUAUUCUCAAACUUUAAAUAUGUAAGAAGCCCUUGUUUCUUAGUUGAACGUGGGCAUUAGAAUGAAGCGUUACUAGUGGGCCAUUUUUGGUAAGCAGAACUGGCGAUGCGGGAUGAACCGAACGCGAGGUUAAGGUGCCGGAAUGCACGCUCAUCAGACACCACAAAAGGUGUUAGUUCAUCUAGACAGCCCGACGGUGGCCAUGGAAGUCGGAAACCGCUAAGGAGUGUGUAACAACUCACGGGCCGAAUGAACUAGCCCUGAAAAUGGAUGGCGCUCAAGCGUGCUACCCAUACCUCGCCGUCGGGGUAGAAACGAUGCCCCGACGAGUAGGCAGGCGUGGGGGUCCGUGACGAAGCCUUGGGAGUGAUCCCGGGUCGAACGGCCCCUAGUG